AAAAUAGCGACGAAAGGGAUUAGUAAAUGACGAUUAUGUGUAAAGAGAGUGACUCCACCGGCUGAAAGGGUCAUCACCGCUAAUCAAUUGAACCUGCCCUCGAGCUAGUCUAUUGACCGUUCACCCACGUUACGGGUUUAAGUGGACAUUCGAUUUGAAUGUCAAUAAAGGUGGUACCGCGGAUACAGUUCGUUCGUCCUUUUC
Molecule: non-coding RNA, 204 nt
Filed under: Halalkalibacter hemicellulosilyticus
Lineage: Bacteria; Bacillati; Bacillota; Bacilli; Caryophanales; Bacillaceae
Description: Bacillus hemicellulosilyticus T-box sequence
Rfam family: T-box leader
About the family: Uncharged tRNA acts as the effector for transcription antitermination of genes in the T-box leader family. T-boxes are found upstream of many aminoacyl-tRNA synthetase genes and some amino acid biosynthetic genes usually in Gram-positive bacteria. The anticodon of a specific tRNA base pairs to a specifier sequence within the T-box motif, and the NCCA acceptor tail of the tRNA base pairs to a conserved bulge in the T-box antiterminator hairpin.
Source: RNAcentral